RNAcentral lists this ribosomal RNA (247 nucleotides) under uncultured bacterium. RNAcentral's name for it is "partial 16S ribosomal RNA". It matches the Rfam family "Bacterial small subunit ribosomal RNA", at positions 523 to 769 of the family's 1533-position model. The record is from RNAcentral.
AUACGGAGGGUGCAAGCGUUGUUCGGAAUUACUGGGCGUAAAGCGCGCGUAGGCGGCUAUUUAAGUCAGGUGUGAAAGUCCACGGCUCAACCGUGGAAGUGCAUUUGAAGCUGGGUAGCUUGAGUACUGGAGGGGGUGGUGGAAUUCCCGGUGUAGAGGUGAAAUUCGUAGAUAUCGGGAGGAAUACCGGUGGCGAAGGCGACCACCUGGCCAGAUACUGACGCUGAGGUGCGAAAGCGUGGGGAGC